Myotis brandtii (Brandt's bat) is the source of this 1026-nucleotide RNA transcript. It is a transcript of the gene named chromosome unknown open reading frame, human C8orf88, with no coding region annotated. Lineage: Eukaryota; Metazoa; Chordata; Mammalia; Chiroptera; Vespertilionidae. The transcript is spliced from 6 exons. The record is from RefSeq and is a predicted model, not a curated record.
GCCCCUCGCCCCCCGCGCUCACACACUAGCUGCCUUCACAGGAAGGGCGCGGCUGUUUGCAUAGAUGAUGAAGCAGAUGGGUUAUCUUGUCCAAAAGAUAAAAAUGCGCAUUUCCCUUCUAAAGUAUGGAACCUCAAGGUCUUGGUGAUAAUGGAAACAAAAAAAUUGAUUGGCAAAUCGCUUCAACCAGCAAGACCUGUUCGUCAUCUGACUUCUCCCUCUGGAGCAGUAUUCCCUUUCAACUUUCAAAAUGAAUAUCCAUGCAACACUCAGUACUUGCAAAGCGGAGUUAGCCGAUGUAAGACGAAUGGAAUGCAGGCCUUUUCUCCGGGCCUCAGCGAGCAAACGCAACAUCAGUCUCCAGUUAAAAAAGAGAGAAUUAAAUACAGCAGAGAUUUCCUGUUGAAGCUCUCCAGUGUUUCCAUCUGCAGGAAAAAACCAGACUUUCUUCCUGAUCAUCCCAUUGUACUUCAAAAACCAGAAAACAACCAAAGUUUUAAGGAGCACUUUAAGAACAGAUGAAUUUGAAGAUAGAUAAUUAUUUGUUUUAUGUUUUGGACACCUGCAAAUGAAGUGGAUCUAGUAACAAUAACUGUAAUGGACUGUGACAAUUCAAUUUAUUUUUAAUUUUGAUGGUUGGGUAUUUGGUUUCUCCUAAAAUGAGAGAGAGAUAUUUUAAACUAUAAAGAAUUUUCUAAUCAGUUUCAGCUUUUCAAGCACUUUCCUAAAUAUAUUAGGAAGAAGCACUCACAAAUAAAAAUGUGGUUAGUGACAUGGGAAGACUGUACUUAUAAUUUGCAUGCUACUUUCAGUUUUUGUUUUUCAUCACUUGUAAUAAUGGAAUGGAAAUACCAGCACUGAGAGGGUCUCUUCAACCUGCGGCUGAGGACGCGUCUGCGCAGGGCAGUCUCAGUGACACGGGGGCAUGUUUAGAUAGUCUUUGCAGAUAGAUGUUUCCAAUAACAUUGUCUAAGGGUCACCGUUACCAGCAAAGGGUGACAAUUUGGAAACAAUAGCAGUGAACAA